RNAcentral lists this long non-coding RNA (577 nucleotides) under Triticum aestivum (bread wheat). RNAcentral describes it as "long non-coding RNA (TAES_LNC022236)". Lineage: Eukaryota; Viridiplantae; Streptophyta; Magnoliopsida; Poales; Poaceae. The record is from RNAcentral.
GGCGAUGGUGGGCUGGUGGCGCGGGUGCACAUGCUGCCGGAGCCUAGGCGAGCGCGGCUGCCGGUGUGGCUGGGCAAGCUAGGGUGCGCCGAUGUUAAUGCAUCCAUGCUGCUGCGUGCGCCUCAAAGGCGAGAGCCAAAGGUAUUAAUUCCCGAUAGCGUUUGGUAUAUUCAGGAUAAAAAUAGGUAAGAAGCACCUGAUUAUUGUAGCAAUUGGAUCAAGACUUUAAUUGUGAAAAAAAUCAGAUCAAGACUUUGGUACAUACAUGGUUGUAUGGGCCGCUUAAUUCUGUGCAUGACUCCGAUUCAUCCCUGAUUCCCUUCUGUAUGUUCCUCUCAUUGCUGGCUGAAGACAGUGUCCUCUUGCUUCUGACGUGGGCAAGUGGAAGAGAUGAUUUCUUCUCAUGUGGCCAAAACGCUCGGAUGGAAGUGACUCGCGUUAGUGCAUAGCAUACAAGUGAAAACAAUCAAAUUAAUUAUUAAAUCAUUGAUGUUAAUCACAGAAGAUAAUGAAUUUGCUUUCUCCUGAUUGAUCUUUGCAGUGAGCGGCGUGGAAGCUGAUUUCUCCAGCAAUCAGG